CUCUCUUUUACUUUAUUUAAGAUGCAAACUGAUGAACUCGAUGUCCUAUUCCGUCUUGCCUUUGUGGUCUUAUGCUUGGGUGUGUUGAUAUGCGUUUAUAACAUAACAAGACCUAGAGGUAUAUAUAUAACGCAUUCGUUAAUGGAGAGGAAGCAGAAUUAGACAUGACUGAGGCAGAGAUAAGAGCUGACGAGAUUUGCGGCGCAUUUAAUAACGAAAAGAAAGGCAAACAAAAACAUAACAAGGCUAAAUUUGGACGUGUUGAGACAAGCAAGGCAGCGAAUUCCGAGGCAGUGAAUCAAGCAACAAUUGAGUACGUGACUGGAGAAAAGCAGCGGCUUACUUAUAGAGAUAAAAGUAAUUGAGACCUUAAUUCAGUGAGAAGCACCAGAAGGAAUCUAAUCUGUAACAUUCAAUUUGCAAUCUAUUGCAAUCGAACUUUAUCGUUAUCGUACUAUUA
Long non-coding RNA from Vigna radiata var. radiata (mung bean), 460 nucleotides. RefSeq lists it as uncharacterized. The record is from RefSeq and is a predicted model, not a curated record. Lineage: Eukaryota; Viridiplantae; Streptophyta; Magnoliopsida; Fabales; Fabaceae. The transcript has 3 exons.